RNAcentral lists this ribosomal RNA (207 nucleotides) under uncultured delta proteobacterium. RNAcentral describes it as "partial 16S ribosomal RNA". It matches the Rfam family "Bacterial small subunit ribosomal RNA", at positions 568 to 774 of the family's 1533-position model. Lineage: Bacteria; Deltaproteobacteria. The record is from RNAcentral.
CGUGUAGGCAGCUCGGAAAGUCGGAUGUGAAAGCCCUGGGCUCAACCUAGGAAGUGCAUUCGAAACUCUCGAGCUUGAGUUCUGGAGAGGAAGGCGGAAUUCUCGGUGUAGAGGUGAAAUUCGUAGAUAUCGAGAGGAACACCGGUGGCGAAGGCGGCCUUCUGGACAGUGACUGACGCUGAGACGCGAAAGCGUGGGGAGCAAACA